Molecule: ribosomal RNA, 490 nt
Filed under: uncultured bacterium
Lineage: Bacteria
Description: partial 16S ribosomal RNA
Rfam family: Bacterial small subunit ribosomal RNA
Source: RNAcentral
AUUGAACGCUGGCGGCAGGCCUAACACAUGCAAGUCGAACGGUAACAGGAAGAAGCUUGCUUCUUUGCUGACGAGUGGCGGACGGGUGAGUAAUGUCUGGGAAACUGCCUGAUGGAGGGGGAUAACUACUGGAAACGGUAGCUAAUACCGCAUAAUGUCGCAAGACCAAAGAGGGGGACCUUCGGGCCUCUUGCCAUCGGAUGUGCCCAGAUGGGGUUAGCUAGUAGGUGGGGUAACGGCUCACCUAGGCGACGAUCCCUAGCUGGUCUGAGAGGAUGACCAGCCACACUGGAACUGAGACACGGUCCAGACUCCUACGGGAGGCAGCAGUGGGGAAUAUUGGACAAUGGGCGCAAGCCUGAUGCAGCUAUGCCGCGUGUAUGAAGAAGGCCUUCGGGUUGUAAAGUACUUUCAGCGGGGAGGAAGGGAGUAAAGUUAAUACCUUUGCUCAUUGACGUUACCCGCAGAAGAAGCACCGGCUAACUCCGUG